This 465-nucleotide ribosomal RNA is filed under the name uncultured bacterium. RNAcentral's name for it is "partial 16S ribosomal RNA". It matches the Rfam family "Bacterial small subunit ribosomal RNA", at positions 28 to 507 of the family's 1533-position model. The record is from RNAcentral.
GACGAACGCUGGCGGCGUGCUUAACACAUGCAAGUCGAACGGAAAGGCCCCUUCGGGGGUACUCGAGUGGCGAACGGGUGAGUAACACGUGAGUAACCUGCCCUUGACUUCGGGAUAACUUCAGGAAACUGGGGCUAAUACCGGAUAGGAAUCCUUGCUGCAUGGUGGGGGUUGGAAAGCUUCGGCGGUUUUGGAUGGACUCGCGGCUUAUCAGCUUGUUGGUGGGGUAGUGGCUCACCAAGGCUUUGACGGGUAGCCGGCCUGAGAGGGCGACCGGCCACAUUGGGACUGAGAUACGGCCCAGACUCCUACGGGAGGCAGCAGUGGGGAAGAUUGCACAAUGGGCGGAAGCCUGAUGCAGCGACGCCGCGUGCGGGAUGACGGCCUUCGGGUUGUAAACCGCUUUCAGCAGGGGCGAAGCUUGUGGUGACGGUACCUGCAGAAGAAGCACCGGCUAACUACGUG